Molecule: ribosomal RNA, 575 nt
Filed under: uncultured bacterium
Lineage: Bacteria
Description: bacterial SSU rRNA
Rfam family: Bacterial small subunit ribosomal RNA
Source: RNAcentral
CCUACGGGAGGCAGCAGUGAGGAAUAUUGGACAAUGGGCGGGAGCCUGAUCCAGCCAUGCCGCGUGCAGGAAGACUGCCCUAUGGGUUGUAAACUGCUUUUAUACAGGAAGAAUAAGCCUUACGUGUAAGGUGAUGACGGUACUGUAAGAAUAAGGACCGGCUAACUCCGUGCCAGCAGCCGCGGUAAUACGGAGGGUCCAAGCGUUAUCCGGAAUCAUUGGGUUUAAAGGGUCCGUAGGCGGGCUAUUAAGUCAGAGGUGAAAGUUUGCAGCUCAACUGUAAAAUUGCCUUUGAUACUGAUAGUCUUGAAUUGUAGUGAAGUGGUUAGAAUAUGUGGUGUAGCGGUGAAAUGCAUAGAUAUCACAUAGAAUACCGAUUGCGAAGGCAGAUCACUAACUAUAUAUUGACGCUGAGGGACGAAAGCGUGGGGAGCGAACGGGAUUAGAUACCCCGGUAGUCCACGCCGUAAACGAUGGAUACUAGCUGUUGGAUUUUUUCAGUGGCUAAGCGAAAGUGAUAAGUAUCCCACCUGGGGAGUACGUUCGCAAGAAUGAAACUCAAAGGAAUUGACGGA